GCAAAGGGAGCAGCCGGCUCCAGGCUCCAACGCGCCUUCUAGCUGCCUAACUGCCUCUUCGCCUCUCCCGUCCUUUCUUGGCUCGAAAUGGAUCCCAACUGCUCCUGCGCCACUGGGGGCUCCUGCUCCGGUGCCAGCUCCUGCAAGUGCAAAGAGUGCAAAUGCACCUCCUACAAGAAGACCUGCUGCUCCUGCUGCCCCAUGGGCUGUGCCAAGUGUGCCUAGGGCUGCGUCUGCAAAGAGGCGUCGGAGAAGUGCAGCUGCUGUGCCUGAUGUCGGGACAGCCCUGCUCCCAGAUGUAAACAGAGCAACCUGUACAAAUCUGGAUUUUUUUUUUCAUACAACCCUGAGCAUUUGCUACAUUCCUUUUUCUAUUAAAUAUGUAAACAGCAAUAAAACAGUUUUGACUUGA
This 412-nucleotide small RNA is filed under the name Pongo abelii (Sumatran orangutan). RNAcentral's name for it is "processed transcript". The record is from RNAcentral. Lineage: Eukaryota; Metazoa; Chordata; Mammalia; Primates; Hominidae.